RNAcentral lists this long non-coding RNA (1409 nucleotides) under Parus major (Great Tit). RNAcentral's name for it is "lncRNA (ENSPMJG00000011529.1)". The record is from RNAcentral. Lineage: Eukaryota; Metazoa; Chordata; Aves; Passeriformes; Paridae.
AUGCCACGUGGGAGGCGGCGGAGCCGCCGCCGCCGCCGGGCCGGAGUCGCGGCCCCGCUGACGCUGGGGACGGCGCUCGCCGGUCGCCGCGAGGAGGGGAGGUCGCGGAGCCCCCGGGACCGCACCGGGAUCGCCGAGACCCGAUGGGUGCUCGGCGCGGUGGCGCCCGGCUCGCGGCUCGGCCUCCCGGGCCUAGAGGCGCUGGCGGCGGCGGCCGGGCCUAGAGGCGGCUCCCCGCCCUGGGCGGCGCCCUCGCUGCUGCAGGUGCCGGCGGCGGCCCAGCCGGCCCCGCGGCGGGAUGGCAGCGACCUUCCCGCCGGCGCGCCCGCCGCCCUGGCCGUGCUGCGCCUUCAGCCCGGCGCCGAGGGCUCGGCGCGGGCGGCGGCGGCCGGGGCCGCGCCGCGCCUGCGGACCGUCUACGUGAACCCGCGCUGGCUGGAGCGCCAGGCCGCGCUGGGGGCGGCGGCGGCGGCCGCCAGCCCCUGCGCCGAGGCGGCAGCGGCGAGCGGCGCGGCCGGGGCCCCGGCUCCGGUUCCGGCCCCGGCCCCGGCCCCGGCCCCGGCUCCGGCGGCGGCGGCGGGGCAGGGCGAGGCCGAGGCGGCGGCCACCCCCUACGUGGGGCUGCGGCGGCCGCUGGGCUACAAGCUGGCCAAGGCCACCAAGGAGCGGAUCUGGCGGGGGGAGUUCAUUGACCUCUUUUCCUUGCUCCACACAGAGCUGGCCCCCGAGCACGGCCCGCGCCCGGGGGACACGCUGGACCAGUGGGUCUCGGCCUUCCUGGUGUACGCCAGCGUGCUGUGCGAGAAGCACCCGGCGCGCUGCGGAGCCAUGUUCAAGUACCUGGACACCAUCCGCAAGCUGCACGCCACCUACGGGGGCACGUCCUGGAUGAACUACGAUGAGGACUUUCGGCGGCGGGCGGCCAAGAACCCUUCUCUGCCCUGGGGCGACGUCGACUUGGACCUGUGGAUGAAGUGGAUGGCGCCCCUCAAGUCGCUUGUCCCCAGGCGCCCGCGUGCUGAGAGCGAGACACAGGCCUCGCCGGCCCAGCCGCCACCGCCGGGCCAGAGCCCCAAGCAGGAGGAGAAAAGCCAGACUCCAUGAAAACAGAGGACCAGUUGGGAUGGAAGUCAGACUAAGUGGCCUGACUCCGUUGGUGUUUAAGUGGAGCUCUGGUAUUCUAGUGCAUUCUUUUACCUCUGCUUCUGUUGCGUUGCAAGCUGUGCUAGAGAAGACGUAGGAAAUUCAUUUUACCCAAUCAGCAAUUGUAACAAUGGACUACAAACCUGCAGAGCAAGCCAGUUUGCUGGAAAACAGGAAUUCCUGCAGCGCAGCACUUGUCACAGACUAUCCAAAGAGGGCAAAGAUUCAGGAAGGUGAAUAAAUUGAACACUGGGUGAAUGAGGUCA